Molecule: ribosomal RNA, 479 nt
Filed under: uncultured bacterium
Lineage: Bacteria
Description: partial 16S ribosomal RNA
Rfam family: Bacterial small subunit ribosomal RNA
Source: RNAcentral
GAUGAACGCUAGCGGGAGGCCUAACACAUGCAAGCCGAGCGGUAUUUGUUCUUCGGAACAGAGAGAGCGGCGCACGGGUGCGGAACACGUGUGCAACCUGCCUUUAUCUGGGGGAUAGCCUUUCGAAAGGAAGAUUAGUACCCCAUAAUAUAUUGAGUGGCAUCAUUUGAUAUUGAAAACUCCGGUGGAUAGAGAUGGGCACGCGCAAGAUUAGAUAGUUGGUGAGGUAACGGCUCACCAAGUCAAUGAUCUUUAGGGGGCCUGAGAGGGUGAUCCCCCACACUGGUACUGAGACACGGACCAGACUCCUACGGGAGGCAGCAGUGAGGAAUAUUGGACAAUGGGUUAGCGCCUGAUCCAGCCAUCCCGCGUGAAGGACGACGGCCCUAUGGGUUGUAAACUUCUUUUGUAUAGGGAUAAACCUACUCUCGUGAGAGUAGCUGAAGGUACUAUACGAAUAAGCACCGGCUAACUCCGUG